Molecule: transfer RNA, 74 nt
Filed under: Daphnia galeata
Lineage: Eukaryota; Metazoa; Arthropoda; Branchiopoda; Diplostraca; Daphniidae
Rfam family: tRNA
About the family: Transfer RNA (tRNA) molecules are approximately 80 nucleotides in length.
Source: Rfam by way of RNAcentral
GACAUGUUAGCUCAGUGGUUAGAGCGCCGUGUGAGGUACACGGAAGGUCAUGAGUUCGAUUCUCAUACAAGUCA